Molecule: ribosomal RNA, 253 nt
Filed under: uncultured bacterium
Lineage: Bacteria
Description: partial 16S ribosomal RNA
Rfam family: Bacterial small subunit ribosomal RNA
Source: RNAcentral
UACGAAGGGGGCUAGCGUUGUUCGGAUUUACUGGGCGUAAAGCGCACGUAGGCGGAUAUUUAAGUCAGGGGUGAAAUCCCGGGGCUCAACCCCGGAACUGCCUUUGAUACUAGGUAGCUAGAAUCUUGGAGAGGUCAGUGGAAUUCCGAGUGUAGAGGUGAAAUGCGUAGAUAUUCGGAAGAACACCAGUGGCGAAGGCGACUGACUGGACAAGUAUUGACGCUGAGGUACGAAAGCGUGGGGAGCAAACAGG